Molecule: ribosomal RNA, 486 nt
Filed under: uncultured bacterium
Lineage: Bacteria
Description: partial 16S ribosomal RNA
Rfam family: Bacterial small subunit ribosomal RNA
Source: RNAcentral
AUUGAACGCUGGCGGCAUGCCUUACACAUGCAAGUCGAACGGCAGCACGGGUGCUUGCACCUGGUGGCGAGUGGCGAACGGGUGAGUAAUACAUCGGAACAUGUCCUGUAGUGGGGGAUAGCCCGGCGAAAACCGGAUUAAUACCGCAUACGAUCUACGGAUGAAAGCGGGGGACCUUCGGGCCUCGCGCUAUAGGGUUGGCCGAUGGCUGAUUAGCUAGUUGGUGGGGUAAAGGCCUACCAAGGCGACGAUCAGUAGCUGGUCUGAGAGGACGACCAGCCACACUGGGACUGAGACACGGCCCAGACUCCUACGGGAGGCAGCAGUGGGGAAUUUUGGACAAUGGGCGAAAGCCUGAUCCAGCAAUGCCGCGUGUGUGAAGAAGGCCUUCGGGUUGUAAAGCACUUUUGUCCGGAAAGAAAUCCUUGGCCCUAAUACGGUCGGGGGAUGACGGUACCGGAAGAAUAAGCACCGGCUAACUACGUG